AUCCAGACUCCUACGGGAGGCAGCAGUGGGGAAUAUUGCACAAUGGGGGAAACCCUGAUGCAGCGACGCCGCGUGAGCGAUGAAGUAUUUCGGUAUGUAAAGCUCUAUCAGCAGGGAAGAAGAUGACGGUACCUGACUAAGAAGCCCCGGCUAACUACGUGCCAGCAGCCGCGGUAAUACGUAGGGGGCAAGCGUUAUCCGGAUUUACUGGGUGUAAAGGGAGCGUAGACGGCGAUGCAAGCCAGAUGUGAAAGCCCGGGGCUCAACCCCGGGACUGCAUUUGGAACUGUGUGGCUGGAGUGUCGGAGAGGCAGGCGGAAUUCCUAGUGUAGCGGUGAAAUGCGUAGAUAUUAGGAGGAACACCAGUGGCGAAGGCGGCCUGCUGGACGAUGACUGACGUUGAGGCUCGAAAGCGUGGGGAGCAAACAGGAUUAGAUACCCGCGUAUCA
Molecule: ribosomal RNA, 449 nt
Filed under: uncultured bacterium
Lineage: Bacteria
Description: bacterial SSU rRNA
Rfam family: Bacterial small subunit ribosomal RNA
Source: RNAcentral